Salvelinus namaycush (lake trout) is the source of this 644-nucleotide long non-coding RNA. RefSeq lists it as uncharacterized. Lineage: Eukaryota; Metazoa; Chordata; Actinopteri; Salmoniformes; Salmonidae. The transcript has 4 exons. The record is from RefSeq and is a predicted model, not a curated record.
GUGUGUCUAUGUGUCUGUUUGUCUGUGUGUAUCUGUUUAACUGCCUCUGGCUCUACACCUGUCUGAUUCCUGUCCCAGGACUGUGGUUAUGGGGAUGGGGGAGAGGGCGGCCGCUGUGUGGCGUGUGCAGAGGGGCAGUUCAGUACUGAGACUGGGUUGGCCCCCUGCUGGCAGUGCACUCGUUGUAUUCUGCUAAACCGCCAGGAGAGAGCAGUGUGCUCACCCACCAACAACGCCCAGUGUGGCAACUGCCUCCCAGGGUAUUAUAAGCUCAGAAGUAGGAGUGGGGAGGUGGACCUGUCGUGCAUGCCCUGUUACAGCCCCACAGGCAAGAUCCGGAAAGAGUGUUUACCUUUGCAGUGGAAACACACCUCCGCAGCAGUGACGCUGGAUACGGUCCAAGUCUCCAUGGCUCUUAUUGGUUCAGUGACUUCCGCCUCAAUCUUCCUACUGCUUCUGUUGCUUUGGGCCUUACUACUGAUCAUUGAGAGAUUCAAACAGGUUCCAAAGUAUUGUCCUGAAGGUCUACAUUCUGAAGUAGACACAGCCUUCCCACGGAAUACACUCCUCUCUAACACCACAGAGACUGGAGAGAAACCACCAGUUACCCCAUCAGAGAGUCCUGGACCAACACAGAACGCCCA